This 440-nucleotide ribosomal RNA is filed under the name uncultured bacterium. RNAcentral describes it as "partial 16S ribosomal RNA". It matches the Rfam family "Bacterial small subunit ribosomal RNA", at positions 338 to 795 of the family's 1533-position model. The record is from RNAcentral.
CCUACGGGUGGCAGCAGUGGGGAAUAUUGCACAAUGGGGGGAACCCUGAUGCAGCGACGCCGCGUGAGUGAAGAAGUAAUUCGUUAUGUAAAGCUCUAUCAGCAGGGAAGAAAAUGACGGUACUUGAGUAAGAAGCCCCGGCUACCUACGUGCCAGCAGCCGCGGCAAUACGUAGGUGGCAAGCGUUAUCCGGAUUUACUGGGGGUUAAGGGAGCGUAGAAGGCAGUGCAAGUCUUGAGUGAAAGGCGGGGGCUCAACCCCCGGACUGCUGUGGAAACUGUAGGGCUGGAGUGCAGGAGAGGUAAGUGGAAUUCCUAGUGUAGCGGUGAAAUGCGUAGAUAUUAGGAGGAACACCAGUGGCGAAGGCGGCUUACUGGACUGUAACUGACGUUGAGGCUCGAAAGCGUGGGGAGCAAACAGGAUUAGAUACCCGUGUAGUC